AAGAGAAGAACCAGUGAUUCCCUAAUCAUGGAGAUUAAAAGACGCACAGUCCAAGGGUUCCUCUCUGGAGUCUGGGGCCUCGUCCUGCCAGAUCGCCAGGCCAACCUAGAUGGUCAAGAGUGGACAGACACAUCUUCUACUGCUCCUGUCUCCGUGGGUUUUCCCCAGUGAACACUGCUCCAGCAGAUCUAGCAUGUGCUGCUUGACCAUCGGCCUCUGUUUGCAUGAAAACCAUAGACUUGAAUUCGCAGAAGUUAAGGUUAUAAUUGUGGAAGCAGAGUGAAGAAAGGUAUUCUUUGAGGAAUAGGACCCCCUACUGAGUGGCUAUCAAACUGAAGAAUCUGCCUUUUGUACGAUUUCCAGCGACGGUAGAAUGCCAAUAUAUUAGUCCACAGGGGGACGUACAACUUCAGGGGAGACCAGACCCUUGUGCUCCGCCAACACACACUGUCUCUGAAGACGGGCUCCGGGGCGACGACAGCACAGCGGAGUUGGCCCAAGGCCCUCCUUCCCCUGGACUUCAUGACUGAUAACCCCACCUCUGGGGAGUCUGAUGUUCUGGUAUGACACGUAGGGACCACACUGGAAGUUACGCAGCGGAUGAUGUGUAAUUUGAUGUGAUCUAAUGGAGCGAGACAAACGUGGUUUGGGACUCUGCACGUAAGAAUGAGAAGACAGGGGAAAGAGGAGACCCCGGAAUGGCCUGCCCAAGCCCGCAUCACCAGUCCUCAGGAAGACGCUCACCUGUGGGCACAGCUGGUAGGCUCUGGGUCAACGAGCUGGGCCUGCUGGGACCUCAGGGGCCAUUGCUAGAGCUGUAAGAGCCUGAAUGGAAUGUGCUUGUCAGCGGCCCUUGUCAAGAGGGCUGCCAAGCCCUUGCUGGCGACAAUGAAUGGAUGUAUCUCUGAAAAGGUGAUGAAAACAGAUCAGUGACCAGAAUGUGAGUGGAACACUGGAGAGGUAGUCUCAGAGAAUGAUUCUGACUACAAGAUGUUACUUAAAACCACAGAAAUCUUGCCCAGACCCUCUUCAUGCUAAAGUUGAAUUUCCCAGCCUGUAAAGAAGUCUGGUUUCAGGAAAAGGUUCUAAAACGACUUCAUAGAGCAUGGACCCCAGAGACAGCUCAGUAGGGGCAGCAGCAGUCCAACGAAGACUCGCUCACUUGUAGAGCAUCGACUACGCACCAGGCACUGUGUAGGGGCUUUACAGACAUAUUUUUUCCAGACUAUUAGUCCUCCCUUUUGUAAAACAACAAAAAAACAACAAAAACCCUUUUCCUUUAGGCUGUGACCACCUGCAGCAGGCGGGAGAGGGAUGACUAAUAUAAUCAAAUGGAACUCUCUUCCAUGGCCCCAUGCUGACCCUUGUCAUCACUGAAACCGCUCCUUCUUCUGAAUCAGUGACCUCAGUAUGUCCGUCUCCCACCGUCUCCUCCUGCCAGUCCUUCCAAGUUGCUUAUCCACCACUCCUGCAGCCACGUUCUAACCUCGUCAGCACCUGCAGUCCACUGAACCUCCUAUUCACCCCAUCAUAUAUAUGCCUUCCCCUAUCCUCACUUGCUUUUUAUGCAUCGUAGAAUCCCUGGUCCAUCAUCAGGCCCUGCAUUCCUGCAUCUGCUGAGUUUUAGUGGCACAAUGCUGCUGGAGGAAGUCACACACCAGAGAGCUGCGUCUCACUCUGAAUUCACUGAUUCCUCUCAAUAAUUAGAUAUUACCUCUUAAAUAGUUCUCAAAUUACUCGUCUCUUUCCAUUUUCACCAUUACCACUGUUAAAAAUGAUUAAAGACGACAAUUUAGGCGAUACAAACAAACUUUAUUUAACACAAAGCAUUAAAGCUCAUGAAGUGAGUAGUCUCUAUUCCUAAGGGUCCAGAGAACUGCAAAAUGGCUGGAAGCCAGGAAGCUUUUAUGGGAUAAAGAAGAAGGAACAAGGAAGAGAAAAACAGAGAGUGAAUAGGGAACAAGGAAGUUGGUACAGAGCCCAGAGCUGGCUUCGUAUUGUUACCGAAACCGAAGUGGGUUCCUUCCUGGUGAGUUAAAUCAGACUCUCCACCAGAAGGAGUUGUCUCACAGUAAAGUAUAUUUGUGGCAAAUAGGAGACCACGAGGAAUCAUUUCCAGAGUUCCGGCGUCCCCGAAGAAAGGGAAGCAGGGACAUUUAUUUCGGAUGGGGAAUGAAUAUUCAAAAGGGAGAGAUGGGUAUUCGCUUGCGCAGGCUCAGUUAGAAGACAUUCUUCCACACACACUGCGGGUUACAGUGAUAAGGCCUAAGCUCCUCCUGGAGAGAUCUUAGCAUUAAAAAUAAGGCAAAGGUCAUAGGUGUAGCUCUUGUGGUGAGGCUUGGUCUGGUUCAGGGAGGGUGGUGAUGACAUCUCCUUAACAGAACAAAAGGAAAACGAACAAUUUGAAAAAGCAGUUAAAAUAUCCGCCCCACCCUUGAGUUCCUUGGGGUAACUAGCUGGUGACUGUUUGGGGGCUGGCUGAGUGGACACACUGCGUUUCUGGUCAAGAAGAACAUUCAGAGGAAUGUGAAAGUCUUCUAAAUUUCAUUUUGCUGACGUGGCUUUCUGGGCUGGAGUGGCUCCAUUCUAGGCCUAGAAAUGCAUUCCAGGAUCGCUUUAAUCCAACCUGCCGUCAUCUCUGUCUGAGACUCAUAACAGCUUGUGCAGGUUGGCCUGCAGUCACUCAUCAUCUCCCUCCCACCCCGUCGUCCCCC
Molecule: long non-coding RNA, 2714 nt
Filed under: Equus caballus (horse)
Lineage: Eukaryota; Metazoa; Chordata; Mammalia; Perissodactyla; Equidae
Description: lncRNA (ENSECAG00000046277.1)
Source: RNAcentral